CGCGGGGUAGAGCAGUUGGCAGCUCGUCGGGCUCAUAACCCGGAGGCCGCAGGUUCAAGUCCUGCCCCCGCUA
Molecule: transfer RNA, 73 nt
Filed under: Treponema sp.
Lineage: Bacteria; Pseudomonadati; Spirochaetota; Spirochaetia; Treponematales; Treponemataceae
Also listed under: 9 other names
Description: tRNA-fMet(cat)
Rfam family: tRNA
About the family: Transfer RNA (tRNA) molecules are approximately 80 nucleotides in length. Their secondary structure includes four short double-helical elements and three loops (D, anti-codon, and T loops).
Source: RNAcentral